This is a non-coding RNA of Equus caballus (horse), 12395 nucleotides long. Lineage: Eukaryota; Metazoa; Chordata; Mammalia; Perissodactyla; Equidae. The record is from RefSeq and is a predicted model, not a curated record.
AUUGUCAGUUCUAAAAGUAAAUCUCACUUUUAAAGAAGCAAGAAAAACAUCAAAAUACAUUUUAUUUAACUAUUUGACUAAUUUCAAUAUUAGUCAUGAUGAAUUUCACACUUACAUGUUUGGCAAACGUGUUUCUGAAUCUCCAGACGGUAUACUGACCUCAAGAAACUGAUCACAGUGGAAGCUCACUUUAGCUUGAACUAAACACAAUCAACUAUUCACAAAUGAUUAUAGAGUUAAAUAUUUAGUUUCAUUGAAAUCAUCCACAGCAGGGAUAAAAUAGGGUAAGAGAUACGUUCCUAAGAUGAAAUGAGACCUAGAUUAAAUUGAAAGAUUAGAAAUUUGCCAUGAGUUAUUAAUCUAGUUAAAUGAGUGAACACUGCACUGAGAAUUCUUGUGAAGUGAAUGAUCACUACCUAAAUUAUAUUGAAUUUCAUAUAGUGCAUUUUGUCUAAAAUGAGAUAUACUGGUUAGAGUCUAUGAUUUAGCUAAAUCCAUUGUAAUUUAAGCAUUGACAUGUUCAAAAGCUUACUGAAAAUUAGCCCUUUUCUUUCUGUUGAUCUCUGUCUAUAUAGGAUAUCUACUAGAACUUUGCCUAAAGAACACUUUUUUUUAACAUUUGAGAGUUGAUAUUUGAACAUAAUAUUAUGAAGACAGAAAUAGAGUGGCCUACAGGUAAUGUUUGUUAGGGAUUAAGAAGACUAUCACGUGAAAAAUAACCUCCAAGAAGGAUCAAAUAAUGGCUAUCUAAUCAAUUAUCUGCAAUCAGAUCCGUGCGGCCAAGGAGAUUUCAAAUCCUGCCACCUGGAACUGACCUGUGUUAAAUAUAUGCUUAAGAAAAAAGAGGUCUAUGAGAAUAAUUAUGCUUUUACAGCUCGCAUGUAUAUAUUUCAUGUUUGUUUAUUUUAUUCUUUAGUAUUUUAUAUUGAGGAACGACCUUCUAGACGAAAGGGACCGUUGUAGGCUUGGAAACUUCUCAUCUGCAAAUUUAAGUUUUUGGACCUUAGGACAUAUAGAGCAGCAACAGGGGAAAAAAUGUAAUGACGAGGGGAGGAAAAGAAAAUUAAAGACCAAGAAGAGUCAUCUCCGUGCAAAUCCAAGGAUUUAACAACAGCUCAGGCUGAGACCAGUCAGGAAGCAAGGUUCAUAAGGACUCCCUCCCUGACACCGAGGGGAGACAGAGAGAGAGAGAGAGCACAUGACAGGAUGACAGGACGGGGAGAGCAGACCAAGCACGGGAGGAGAAAUUGGACUACACCAGCUACUGGCAUUGUUUUUAGGCAUCCAGACUCUAGAUAUUGCUUUUGUCUUCAUUCACAGGAUAAUGCUUCUGCUCACAUUAACUGCAGAGGAAUUUGGGUUGAAAUCUUGAAAGUAAUAAAGUUUUACUCCAAUUCCUAUUAAGAAUAAAAUAAUAAAAAUGUCCAGUUUAACCUAUCAGAGGAUCAUGAAGAAGUCAGUAAAGAUGCCGUGUGACCCGGCAGUGUGGCCUGGAUAACUUCCAGUGACUUUAGGACCAGAACACACAACACAGUUCAGCAGGGAUGCUGGGCCAGAUUUUCCCUUGCUCCACACAGGCCUGUGCCCAGACAGAGAGGACAAUCACCACAGGCAGCUGGCACGCCAUGCACAGUGUUGUAUAACAUUCUGGAAAGCCUUGGGGGAUACUAGAGUACCCUGACCUCUGCCAGCUGGCCUGCCCCAAGGGAUCAGCCAGCUCAAAGGGGGCCGCAGAGCUGUGGGCAUUGCCUCCAGUUUGGGAAAAUGCAAAGCAAUCCCGGGUCUGGGCCCCUGAGGCUGCCUGAACGUUCACAAGGACAAGCGCUGAUUCUCUGCCCUGGCCAAGGCCCCUGCUAAGGCCUGAGAUGAGGGGGUCCUGAGGCAUGUAUGAGGUUCUAGUCUCCCAGGGAGACUAAACUCUUACAACCUGCCACGUCCUGGGUAGUAUGUCCUUUGUAAUGGUCUUAUAAUUCAAUCUUUACAACACUCCUGCAGGGUAUCCCUGUUUUACAGUUGCGAAAACUCAGCUCUGGAGAGGGUAAAUCACUUGUCCAGAGUAGUAAGAGUAUCCGAACUUGAGCAGAGGCAGCCUGACACCAAGAUGCACAUACUCGGACUGCAGUCAAAGCCACACAGCCCCCCUGAAACUAAAGUGCAUGAACCCACUGCCAUCCAGGAGGGAUCCCCCUCUCAGGGGGGCACCCACAGCAGCCCCUCCCAACGUGCACAAUUUCCCCACCACUGGGAGCCACAGCCGCUAGAAGUGCUGAAACUGUCUCUCUUUGGGGCAUACAAUGUUCUAAUGACUAAGGAUAGCUAAUUUCUUAAUCAAAAGAAAAACACACAUAGAGGCUUAGUAUAUGCUAGACAUUGUCAGAUUUAGGGUCAACUUCUCAGGUUGUUCCCUCCCCCUUUUUCCAGACAAGAGAAGAGGAACAAUUCACAACAAGGAACAGAGACGUAGAGGGCAGAGAGCAAGAGAAGUGGGCACACAGGGGUCAUGUGCAAGAGCACCGGCCCGGAGCUCAACGGGCCUGGCUGUAGGUGACCUGUUGAUCUGGGACAAGUAUUUUCUCAUUCAUCAAAUAAGAAUAAAUUUAGUACCUACUAGUUUAAAGAAUCAAAUGGCAUGAUGCUAAGUCUUGGUACACAAUAAAUGAUUAAUAUACAUUAGCUAUUACUUUUCAUUUUUUGUUAAUUUACAGAGGGUAGAGAGGAAAAUAUAAAGGCAAUAAAAUUAUGGAGAAAGCCACAAAAUAAUAAGCCAGAGGAAAGCUACAAUCUAAGAAAAGAGAAAGUGAGGAAAGAAAAGGCAAAAAUGACACCAGGAAGACAGUAAAAGAAAACAGCAGCUAUAUAUAAUAAUUGGGAGAGGAAGCCACAAUCAAGCUAGGAAAAAAAAUAGAAAUAAAUGAACUGAUUCAGGAAUGCAAUUGUGGAAUGAACUGAAAAUGAAAUUGGAGUCUGCAGCCCAGCCACCUGGCCUCGUGCACGAAGCUGCAUAGAAUGUGCAGGUGAGGGAGCUGGCAGGGGCCCUGCCGGUUAAGCCGUCCAGUCUGUGACAAAAACAAACUACAGACAAAGCGGAAGGAAAAAAGUAAGAUGGGGCAUUAAACUACAUCAACUUGAAGUGAAUGGGAAAGGUAAAACCACAAUAAGAAACAAAACAGCAAAAAAAAACAAAAAAGCAAAGAACAAAAAGUGAAUUCUCCAGCAAAUGGCCCAGGAAGAAAGGAGGGAAGCAAACGAGCGGGCCAGACUCCAGGAAGGAGGACCACCAAGGCAGAGUGGCCCUGGGGGGGAAACAGAGAGGGGCCUGGAGAGCAAUAAGGAAGAAGCGGGCGGAAAAGACACUCUGGUCUGGAACAAUGCAGGUUUUGAGUCCAACUCGGCCCCAAAGGCACACUGUGACUUAAGAAGGUUUACUUGACCUCUCUGAGCCCCAAGCUCCUCCUGCAAUUUGAACACAGGGGACAAGGUUUGAUGAUCGAAGGGCCCUGCUGGGCCCCCUGGAACUCUCUACAAAGGUAACUGCCCCUGAGUCCGGGCCCGGCCUCUUUCCCCUACAGCUGCUGACAUGCGGGGCUCCACUCAGGGGGAGAAAUAACCCCAGGAAGUAAGGAGAAAAGAAAGACCAGUGAUGUAGGAGCAAUAUAAAGCACGAUCAGAAAUGAAGGAACCAAAGGAUAGGCCCACAGGGAAAAAAAGACAUUCAAAUGAAACAAAACAAUUGGUAAAACCCACUAAGCAGCAGGCACGGCACCAAUUAAAGUUUUCCUUUGUUAUUAUUACAUAUUUUAUCUUUAUGCCCUUGUAAAUGGCAUUUAGUAUCAAGUCUCAAUUAAAAUUUUAAAACAAUAAAAUGGCAUCUAAGUGGGUGAGCAGGAGAAAGUAUGAGACAAUACAUUGGGGAAGGAAAAAUCUAGCUACGUGCCUCAAAUGACAGAAAACUAAAACAAAAAAAUUUCAUCAGAAAAGACAUCUAAGAUCCUGUGAAGAAGGGACUUUCAAAACAAAAAUCAACCAACCACAAAGGCCUAAAACAGAAAAGACCCGGCAAGAAGGAGAGAGCAGUGAGGUUUUGCAGCUGGGCUCCCUGCACACUGGCGUGUGGCGAACGGCUCCUGCCGUGGCUAUCCAUCCCCGGCCCCGGGUGCCAGGCUGUGAUGGUCCACAGCGUGCAAUGUCAUUCCUAUGUGACAGUAAAAUAAAUACUAUCACGACUUAGCUUCUUAGAUGAGCCGUGACAUGGCAAAAUUUGAGGAGUACCGCAAGACUGACCACAGGAAGAAGAGAACUCGGAAGACCCACCUACGAAAGCAAAACUAAGGGAAAUUCAUAACAGAAUAAUCAAAGAAAGAUAACAACAGCUGGUUAUGCCCAGAUAUAUACAGGAGGAAGAAGCAAAUCUUCCUAUCACAAUGUACAGCUGAAAAUACAGGAUGAAAUAUUUAUUAUUUGAGCCGGAGGGAAUCUUAACGGUUAAGACAGGACUUGAUGGACGGGUUUGCAGUUCUGUGUGUUGGGGUGUGUCCUCGUGCUGGCGCAGGCUCCUGGCUUGUGGGCCAACACCAGGUCACAUGUGCAUUUACAGCCUCACGGGAGUAGACUACAGCUGGUAGAGUGUAAACAUGUAAUUUGUGUUUGUUGAAUGAAUGAGAGAAUUAGCGCAUUUCGUUCAAACAUUCGUGUUACAAAUGUCCAGAGAGGCAGAGAGUAGCUCCCAGGUGUCCUGGCUACCGGUUUAGAACUCGUUAGGCUCCUCUGCCAUCCUUCCUUUGCUCCGGGCUCCUACUGAGGGACACGCAGAGCAGCCCACAGGGAGCCUGGGGUGGCCCAGGAGCCAGGAGCCAGUCCACGGGUCCUGGCUCUCUCACUGCCCGGGGACCUCAGCAAAACCGUUUGUUUCUAAGUCCCAGUAUUCUCUCUGAAAUGUUGUGGUUGGAUGAAAUCAUUUACGGGACUUCUUAGCAGAAGGGAGCACGUAAAACCCUAUCCUACCUCAAGGAAAAUCUCCGGGAUAAGUCUAGUUUUCAAAGGAAAUCUUGAACUGAAACCAGCUUCCAAGACUUCUCACCCGACCGCCCGUAUGAGCCUCAGUUGAUGAAUGAGUGUGUACAGUGUAUUUUUUUGAUGUAUCUGAACAGCGUUAAAAUUUUUUUCACACAAGGAAAAAAAUUACACUCUUUUGUUUAUCUGGCUUUUCUUUAGAAAACGGCAGAGAACUUUCAAGAAGGUGAGUUUUGAAGGAUUUUAGUUAGUAAUCUGAGUUAGGAUAAUUAGAUUUUUGCCUGUACACAAAAAACUAAUCAUUAGUUUCUGACUAGUCUUCUUAAAUCGCGAAGCCAGGUUUUGUCUUUCUGUGCCCUUUAGGGCUGUAGACAAAAAUAAAGGCUAUACUCUCAAAAAGGGAACAACUUUCAAAACAAUCACUGUUCAAAUCUCGAAUACUAAAAACUCUGAUUUAUGUUUGUGUCUGACGGAAGCAGCUCCAGACCUAAUCUCUCCAGACUCAGCAGACAGGAGGAAGGCCCGAGGCAGCUGCUGAGAGGGCACCGUGCCCCGGCCCGCGGGCUGCCCGCCCUCCCCUCCCCGGGCUGCUGCGCCUCCACAGCUCACGCAAAGGCCUCGCGGGAUUAGCUGCUGCGAAACAGUCUCAGGUAAACAGACCACCUGGCCAGAAGAUUACAAGGCAUUCGUCUAGAGGCUACUCUUUUCCUUCUGCAAAACGAAUUCUCUAAUUCUGAGUCGUUUCUGCAUGCGUACUGAAUUUUUCUUUGUUUUCUACAUCAGACAAAAGAUGCACUAUUCAUUCUCAGUCUUCCUAAUCCCCUCUUUCUUUGUGAUCCUCACACAGCGCCUGGUGCACACUCUUGGAGAGGAAGGAAUCAAGCCGUCUACUUCUAGAUUGCAAGUACAAUGAGAUGAACUCAGUGAUUGCCUCCCUGAUCUCAGCUCUUGAGAAUUAAUGUGUGUGACUGUCUCCACUGCUAGAAAUAAGUGCCACAAAGGCAGGAGUUUGUUUACUCACAUGUUCUGACGGCCUGACAUGAAGCAGGUGCUCUGUAAUAUGUGUUAAAGAAAUAAAUGAAUUACAUGUUGAAGAAAUGGGUCUUGACGCUCUGUGGAGAGAAGACUUCUAUAGAAGGGAGAGGGGAAGCAGGAAGACCAGUUAGGAGCCUGGCCUUGCAUUGAGGCUCGCUCAGAGAGUCCAUUUGCAGAAUCAAACGAAAAUCUAGCUCUUUCAUGCAAACCUUCCUGAAGCAGCAAGGCUGUGUUUGGACAUGAGAGCGAAGGCUCCUGUAAUGGAAGCCCUGAGGGUGAUUUCUCUCUACCCCGAGCUUGGCAAGGUCCUCUCCACCACGGAGCGAUGACAUGGAGGAUCAAACAGCUCUCUCCAAGCCAGGCCCCAUCAGACUUGCCUUUUCUAAAUAUAGUGCACUUCAGUAAACACCGUGUGAAUCUGCACUUCGCCUGCUGGGAAAUGCAUUGUCACCUCCAUCACAAUUUUGUGCACGUGUGAAUUGUGAACAAAGCUAGAAGACUUACCAUCCUUAUUGGCUAAAGUGAAGCGAAGGAAGGUGCACGAAUCUCAGCCUUUCCCAAACACAGACUGGAAAGAAAACACCUCUUGGUGUGUGGGUGCACGCUACUGAGGGGCUCGCCAUUGUGAAGACUCCUCCAAGUUCCUCCGCAGUCCAUGCCCUGAGCCCUUGGGUUGGGCACCAUGGCAGGCCGUCCCUAGUGGGGCUGGUUUCUACGUUCCAGCAUCGCGCUACAUUGGUGGAGGUUCUGCCUCGGUCUGUUCUGAUGCCAAGUGCUUUGUACAACCUCCUUGUGUCCUUCCCCAGCUGCCUGGGAGCCCACUGUGAUCUGCACUCCUCUCCUUUCAGCACUGUGUGCAGCAAGGACUCGUUCACCUUGCGUUAGGUCCUGAAAGGGACCCUUAGUAAACUGGCCUUACCCUUAGCUCUUCUCUAUACUAGGGCUUACGUACCUCCCAUAACAUUUCUCAGGAAGCUGUGUGGAUAGAUUAUCUCUGGAAAUUUUCAUUUGCACAACGAUAGGGAACAGUAUGGGAGCAUUGUGCAACUUGAAGAGGCUUUAAACACGUUGAAGUCUAUGUCAGUCACAUCUUCUGGAGUUGUGCAGUGUACAGCCUGUCCAGCUAUACCUGGCAGCCCUGAUAGGAAAACUAGAAGCGCUGGAAUAAUUUCUGAAGUUGAAUCUGAAGCUUGAUCAUGUUUGAAAUCCUCACUCUCUUUCAUACCCCUGAAAAUUGUUUGACCACUUUAAUCUAGCUUUCUAGCCUGCAUUGGAAAGUGUUCUGUCUAACCACAGGCAUGCUUAAUGCCUUGCGAUCUAUAUCCUCCCCUCUAUCCAAAUUGUCACUGCCUUCAGGUCUCUGUCGCCUUAACCCUGAAUUACUGGGGCCACCUCCUAUCUGGCCCCCCUGCUUUCAGUCCCACCUCCCACCACCAUUCUCUAGCGUUGACAGUGUGACCUAUCUAACUCAUAAAUCUGGUCAUGUUGUGAUCUUGCUCGUAAUCCUUUAAUACCUUUCCAUUGCUUUCAGGAUAAAAUCCAGACUCCUUCGCAUGGAGACAGGACCCUUCACGAUUCUGGCCCCUGCUCUCACCUUCUGCUUUUGGAACACUCACUGGCCCAAGUCAGGUCAACGCCUUUGGAUUUGAUACUCGCUGUACCUAGGAUGCCCUUCCACUCCCCUGUCCCUUCUCCUGACCAAGCCCAGCUCAGAUGUUACCUCCCCUGGGAGCAAUUUGAACACAUGCUAAAAAGCAUGGGACCAUGCAUUUAGCAAUGAAAAUAUCUCUUCAGCCCACAAAGAAUUGAAAAAUAACAGUCUUGAAGUAAGGUCAGAAAGAAAGUCAUGCGUGGACCACCACACACUGAUUCACAGAGUUAGAUGCCAGCUGCAAGACGUUCGGAGAGCUCUACAGAGAGUAAGGGAUGUGCUGAGCCUGUCCCACUACAUUCCUUCCUGCCUCCAGCUGCCGCACAGAGAGAAUCAGAUGGCAGAAACGCCCCAUGAGCGGCAGCCUCAAGUUGCACGGGAAAUAAAAGUCAGAAAAUGUAGCAGAAAAAGUUUAAGCUCAGGAACCAGAAAAACUGAGUUCUGGUCACGUCUUUAGAUCUGAGUUUCUCGUUUUACUGUGAAAGAAUUGGACUCUGUCAGGGGUUUUUAUGUCGCGCUUCACACAGCCCUGGGUGUUCUGGAUGGUUUUCAGGGGUCACCUCAGGGGAAUAGAAUGGACACAGAGGGGUGAAGGCAACUCCCCAAGAACGCCUCCACUCUUGUUGGAUAUUCUGUUUUUCUGUGUAGGAUUUCAUCUGAAGAAAGGGUUAUGCUGCUUAAAAUGCAUUGAAAAACCCUAAAAGAGACUAAUAAACAACAGACAUUCCCCGAACUGACCUACGCUUCACUGUCUCUGGAGUUCAGUAAGGACCUGUUGACUAACCCACCCAGUGGCAAACUGGACCCUGCUAUGCUCUUUGCCAGUCACAUCUCCUGCUGCUCCCUCUGGCGGGGAUGCUCACUGUGCAAGGUUCAGCUGGACUUUGUCCCCAAACCAGUCAAUGCCAGUUGUACUAGUUGUUUUUUAUUAUAUCCUUUUUAUUACGUAUUAUAUAGGCCAGUGACAUGAGAGCCGUUUUUUCUGUGAAUAAUAAGGAGAAUGCUUGGAAAGACUUAGUAAAAACAAGUCACUAAAGAUAUUGCAGUGGAAUUAUGUAUGGGCAAGUUAACUCUUUGGGGAAAGAUUAUAAAAAUCUGCAUGGAAUCUAUUCUCAGAUCUUCCACAAGAUUCUUGGAGUUCUCAUUCCACUUUACAGAAACCCAGCCUGGAAAUUGUAUGUGGUGCAUCAGAAAGUGGGGUUCACCCAAAAGAAGCAAGAAUGCAACUCUAAACAGUAUGUGCACACUCAGAUCAAGCCUUGACCCUACAUGAGACUUUGGAAAAUAAACAGAAAUCUAUGUUUUAAGAUAAAACAAAGUAUUUAAAUACAUAUACAUAUCAUUUUUAUGAUUCCCCACUUCGGCUUUUUCAAUUAACUGCUAGUCCAACCAUCUGUGUGUGUGUGUGUGUGUGUGUGUGUGUGUGUAUCUAAAGAACCAGACCAGAAAACAUUCUGCAAACUCAAACAAACAAACCCAUAGCAACAGCCCAAGAUCUGAGGUUAUAUUGGCAUUUUUCUUCCAAAGAGAGAAGAGACUUCUAUUGAAGUGGACCCUGACUGGCCUUACAUUUGUGCAGCUGUCAGGCCCAAUGGCCACUAUAACACAGACAACACAGUCGUUUCCAACUACAACAGGUGUCCUUGAUUUUCAGUCUUUCUUAAAUUUCAGCAGAGACUGCAGGAUGAUCAUGGAAAAAGAAGUUGGACGAGAAGAAGAAAGAUAGUCGGGGGUGCAGAGUGAAUGGUGUGACCUGGAAGGCAUUCUCUCUAACUGGUCAGUACGGUGUCUUGCCAGAGAGCUCUGCUUGGCGAGCCCAACGCUUCGCAGAUUACUGAUUCUGCUUUCAACUGAGAUCAGUCACUGAAGGAUUUGUCUCUUUCUUGUUGGACAGUGACAGGACACCAACCACACAAAGCCACCUCCACCCAGUGAUAGUUCUAACUGUUUACAGCAAAAGUCAGCAUUGCCAGGAGUCAAUAGAAAUGUGCCCACUAGGUAGGCAUUGACCUAAAAAGUAAACUACAUUCAUGCACGGAAGAUGCACUACAUUCUUUGGUGGAAGGUAUAGCCAUUCUGAAAUCUGAGUGUGGAUCCCUGGUGUGUAAAGCAGUUUUGUGAAAGACUAAUAAUUUAUUUUAAAGGAGUUUCUAUGACUGUGAUUAAAGUACAAGCUUUAGCAAACAAAGAGCUUAGUGCCUUAAAAUAUAAAUAAGGCAUGAGCCUCCUAAAUGGCGUCUUGUCACCUGUACAACUCUAGGCCAUUACUAAAGAUGUUUAGCUAGCUAGCACAUGUCUUACUUAUAGAGGGAGUAUGGGCGUAAUAGAAAAAAACAUUAAAAUAAUACAGAAGGAUACAACAUUUUUUAAAAACUGCUGACAAUCUGGGAGAUAUAAGAGAUACUCUGAGGCGGGGAGAAGGGCUGGCAUCUGAGGAUUAGCAAUUCCUUUUGAGUAGGAACGGGCCCGUGGGUGACGAGCCUUUCCAUCUUCUGUGAAAUUCAGGGCUAAGCACAGGCUCGGUGAGAAUCUGUUGAAUUUCCCAGAGAGCAGUCUGUAGAACAGAACCUGAGUAAUAUCAGGAAAUGUCCCCCCACAUGGUCAUUGCCCCUAACUGAUCUCAGCCAAUUUAGAGCACCUCAACUAAGGCGCUAAUUAAGUAGGAGCCAGAUAUUUCAAAGCUGCCUUUCUGGUGGAGUGGGAGUCAAGUUAUUAUGAGACCUCUUUAUUCCCUUGGUCAAUAUUUUUCCUUGCAUUCAGGACUGUCCUUACUUCUUUGAGGGGAAGCUGCAUGAGCUUAAUCAAGCCCCCCAGAUUAAAAGAGACAACUGGAGCACAGUUCUUAAUGGGAUAAAGAGUCAUGAUCCCCAGCUUCCAUCAACAGAGAGAGAGUCAUGGAGCUUCAUGAGAAGGGCAUUAGCUUUGGGUCAGACCAGAUGCUUGGAUUCAAAUCCAGGGUCUAAUUUUACAGACUAGCCGUGUGACCUAGGCAUGACUCAACCCUUCAAGCUUCUAUUAUUCAUGUAUAAGAUGAGGUAUAUUAAUCCCUUCAUUAUAGGGCUUAUUGGGAGGAGUAAAUAAGAUAAUGCACUUACUCAUGGACCGGGUCCUUAUGUGCCCUGUGUCAGACACUGUGCUGGUUUCCAGAGACUAGACACAUGCUAAGCACAUGGUAGGCAGUCAUUAAAGAUUUGUUGAGUUGACUUGAUCUCAUACAGUAAGUAAUAAGGAGACUCAGAAAUAAACAAAUAAAAGACUAGCUGAAAGCUUUUUGGAACUGUGCUAUGAGAUAGAUUAAGUAACUCUUUCCACAUAAGCUCCCUAGCUCUCCUUCCCCAGAAAUAGAACUAGAGAGAAGAAGCAGGGAGAAGAAAAAUAAGAUAUUUUUUGAGACUAAAAUAUAUUCAUAAAAAUAAUGUAUACAAUAUGUCCACUGCAGCAUGGUUAUUAAUGAAAAAUUCUGUUGUAAAGUGUCACAGCUUGAAUCCUGGACCCAUUUACUUCCAGGAUACAGACAUUCCAGGGCCGCAUUUCUCAACCUUGACACUAUUGACAUUUGGGGUUAGAUAAUGUUUUGUCAUGGGGAAUUGUCCUAUGCAUUUUAAUGUGUUUAGCAGAAUCCCUGGUUUCUGCCCACUUAGAUGCACCAAGUUGUAACAACCAAAAAUGUCUCCAGACGCUGCCAAAUGUCCCAUGGGGACAAGAUUGCUCCAGCUGACAAGCGCUGCUCUGGAGCAUAUUUGACCAAAGAAUUAAAGAAAAAAUAUAUCCCCAAGGAAGAGACUCAGCACACAGGCUUAGCCCAGUCUCUGCACCUCAGUUACUGGAACACCUCUGAGUGCAGAUGUUUCUGCCACCCCGAAUGGACCUCAGUCCAGCAGCAUGUUCGUGCCCAAAGGGGACAGAACUACAAAAACUGGAAAGAUCUGCUUUCACUGCAGUCUCUCAGAGACGUUGAGAAGUAUCCUGCCUCAUCUUCUCUCCUCCUUGCCAACUCCACUGUAGCCACCCUGGCCCCCUUGAUGUUCCUCAAACAUGCUGUAUUAAUCAUGUCUUCUUAUUCUGUGCUUUGAUACUUUGACAUCUUGGGGUUCACUGACCCUGGAGGGACUCCCAUCCCAGGACUACCAGUUCUGGAGACAGCAAACAACCUGCCUGUGAGUGCGCCUUUCCUGUGCAAAGCAACCAGUCCAGAGCCCACACCACCAGCCACUCCUCCAUGGGCUCUCAUACUCAGGGCCACUUAUCCCUGCCUUAUCACCCCAGGACAGGUACCAGACACUGGAGAGAGCCCUAUGCCCUAGAGCCCACUGAAGCUAUCCAAUCCUAAGCUGCGCCUCCAGCCUGCCCAUUCCUUCCCACAGAAACCACAGCAAAGACUCCUGCCCACAUUUCUCCCUUACUGCCUCUGCCUCCUGACUACACUGGUGCUUCCCCAUGUGCCCUUUCCUCUUGGAAUCUGCGAGUAUAACAAAUGAUCUUUUCAAUGGCAAUUGUCUCCUCACCUCUUGGCCCCUCCAUACCUGAAAAAUAAUGAAACCUACAUUUUAAAAAGAAGUGCUUGGUAUGCUGCCACCACAGACUUGCGCAUGUCGUCCCACCACGUGUUCACUCAGAGCCCCGGGGCUUCCUCCAACUGACACUGACCCUGAUAUCAGUUUCCCCACAUUAAACCCAGCAUAUAUGGGGGUAAGACCAA